AUACAGCUGUCCCUCCAGAUUAAGGUAAACCAAAUGUUGCAAUCAGAGAUUAGUGUACCUUGCCAGUUAUUAACAUCCCCGGUUGCUCAGCAAGCACGUCAGACACUAAUGCUGUGUAUUUAUUUGCUACUUCCCCACUGUAACUUGAACUUCUGCACCUGUCAAUGCAUUCCAGGGAAGAGAGGGGUAUUAUUGGAAAGCAAAAGUUUUAUACCUGUUACACCUGGUUUGGUUUGUCACAGCCUAAGAUUUUCUUCUUUUCUUGCCAGGAUUGCCAGGUGGUUUAAUCCGUUACUCUGCUGGUUUUAUGAAAAAAGUCUUUGUAUGCAAAAUUGCAUUUGUUACUCUCAUCUGCUCUCUCUGUUAUCGAAGCUGAGCUACUCACCUAAAUUGGGCCUUUUCUUUCCCUUCUGUAAGGGAGGUUUUUUUUUUCUCUCCUUCUUUGUGUGUGUGUGUGUAGAGGAUGCAGCACAAGGCUAGAAGAAUCAGCACCCUCUCCUGCUGUGCUCUAAUCAGUUAGUGGUGCCUCUCUCACAAGGAUCCUGACACGUGGAGCAUUGAUGAACUCAGCAUAACGUUGAAUAGGAGCUUUUUGGCAGCUGAGACACAAGGGCUAAGCUGCAGGUCAGAGAUAACACUAGUGCAGAUCUCCUCAUGCACACAGUUAGUAGCAUGCUUUCUUCCCUCCUGAGUGCAGGAAAUAGCUCAUGUUAAAUACGUUCACUUUUCAGUUUUCCUUUCUUCUAAAAUGGAGCUUGACAGAUUGGGCUUUUCAGCUCCCCCUUUUUUUCACCACCUCUGCUUUUUACCUCAGAAAUACUCUUCAGGAAGCAGGAGUUAAUCUUGGCUCAACUCUGUCUCCUGUACCUGCGUGCAACAGUGCCUUUCUCUGUAAAUAGUCCCAUUAAUUUCAAUGGGGCUACUCACAGAGGAGAGCACAGAUCAGCAUAAAUAAGAGUGGAAGAACCGGGCCCUGACCCUGCAGGCUUUUCCACAUGGAUGGAUUCCUGCACCCAUGUUUAGAGCUCUGUUGACUUCAUUGGGUCACUGUGCUGAACAGCUUGCAGGCUAAGACCUAAUAAUGUGUAUCUUUAAAGAAGGACAAAAGAAGGAGAAAGAUCCCUCAAAUGAUGGAGAGGAAAUGGUCAUAUGAAGGCCAGUCCUACCGGAAAGCCCUGCUUUAAAAGAAGAAAUUAUUCAGACUAAAGGAGUGGUUUUCCUAAGCAACCAGAUCAAAGUGAAAACUCUCAGAAUAGCUCACUCACAGGUUUCCUUUUGCACACAGGUUCAUCAAGAGUGUCAGACACUUGGUGGACAGUUCAUAUUCCUCUGACAAACUAAAAUUUGGUGGGAAACUUCACAGGAACCCACGGUAUCAGUAAGCUCUGAAAAUAUCUUGGGAUCUCUCUUCUUUUUAAAAAAGACUUUAAAAAUAAUUUGGUGGAUCUCUAAUCUAGUUAUCUGCUGUAACUACAAUAUACUGUGUAUGUCUGACUCCCACAGACGAAGGCCUCUGUUUCCUUUCUGCCAGUACCUUAGUAUCUGCCUUGCCCAGGAGUCUGCUGAUGAAGACUUCCUGUUUGUUUUGAGUCACUGUUGGAGUGAUAAAUAUACUUCAGCUUUCUCCUCAGAGAGGAAAGAAACCAGCUGCCCUGAACUAAAGAGAAAAUAUGUAGAAAUUCCACCAAAGGGCCCUGUUAUCAUGGAGCCUCUAUGGAAGCAUAAAAAGAAGAAAUAUAAGCCAGGACAAAGGAAACAAUUUACAUACUAAAACAUCCUUCCACAUGAAUCGACAUAAGUUGUUUUCCUUUAAUCAUUUAUUUUCACUCUAUAACUAUAAUUUAAAAUGGAUUACAAAUAAAUAAAUAAAUGCAGGGGGGUGGCAGGAGGGGGAGAGAACCAACCCCAAAAACAUACACUACACAAUAAUGUUUGGCUGGAUAAACAAACAAUUAUACUUGUGGUUUCUUGAUCUGACCACAAGCUUUAAAUGACAUUUUUUUGCAAGAACCUAUAAUGCUUCUGGAUAAACAAUUGUGUUUAUAUUGUCAGGAGCACCCAGUGCAGUGUUGUGUAAUUUCUGUGUGUGAUUACCAGGAUAUAGAAUAAAUUCCAAAAUAAAAGAAAGGAAAGGAAAAUGAGAUUAUUAGGUCAUUUUUAAUAAAAACAGCAUAGUUUGGAAUCACUUAUAGCUUAAUUUGUAAUUUUAAAAGAAUGCAGCAGUGGCUUUUAAGUUUCUGCAAUUAUCUUUUCAUCUCUUUUUAUCCUUUUUUUUCUUUUUUUUUCUUUUUUUUUUUUAAUUAGAGAUGGGACCCAAACCAAAAACCUGGAUCCAAACCCAAGAUCCAGGCUCAUAUCAGAGUUCACAGCUCUAACCUAGUUCUUGAAGAAGUCAGCUCUAAGCACUAGGAACUUCAGCUUUGAAUUUUAAACUUCCAUGUUCAGAAGCAUUUGAAUCCAGGUGUUUUGGUUCUGCUGGAUAUAGGGGUAGAAAGUUUAUAUCUUCAUCAGUGUUUGUGGUCUGGGCCUGUGCCACCCUCUGAAAAAUUUAGAUGUGUACUGUGUGGGAAUGGGGAUGGUUAGCCAAUGUGCUAUGACUGAUGAUGCUGGGGAGCCCAAAGAACAGCACUGAGAAAUAGCGUGGGCUAAUGGUUAUCGGCACUGGAGUAGGGGUCAGGAGACUUGUGUUCUUCUCCUGGCUCUGCUACAGACCUGUUGUUGAACCUUGGGCAAGUCAUUCACCUCUCUGUGCCUCUACACUGCAAUUAAACAACUGCAGCUGGCCCAUGUCAACUGACUUGGGUUUGUGAGGCUCAGGCUACAGGGCUGUUGAAUUGCGAGGAGGGAGGGUCCCAGAGCCCAGGCUCCAGCCUGACCCCAAGUGUCUGCACAACAACUAAGCAGCCCUGUAGCCUGAACCCCAUAAGCCGAGUCAGCUGAAAUGCAUUUAUUUGCAGUAUAGAUGCAUCCCCUGUUUCCCCUUCCACCCUUUGUCUGCCUUGUCUAUUUAGAUUCUAAGCAAUUUGCAGCAGGGACUCUGUGUUUCUACAGUGGCUAGCAUAAUAGGUCCCUGAUCUUGGUUGAGGCCUCCAGGCACUACUGUAGUACAAAUAAUGAAUAAUAACGAAUGAGAAGACAUUCCAGGGUCAUUGGGUUUGUCCAGUCAGAAUCUGCAAGGUGUACACUUCACAUUCCAGAAUCCCACAAAGUGUCCCUCUCAUGGAAGAAUCAGAAGGAAACUUUGACCUUCAGAUGGUCAUUUUCUGCUCUCUCAUCUUUUUUUUUUUUUAAGACAUGUGACCCUGGAUUGCUCAUAAGGGGGGAUGGGCUUGUGUGUGCAAUGUCCACAUUAUUUAGGAGAAUCAGUUUUUAUUAAAAAAAAGGCACACAAAAAAGCUCUGCUUUGGCUAAAUAAUAUUUGAAUUACCAUUACAAGAAAGGAGAACCUUAUUUUUCUUAUAUUUUUCGUAUAUUUUCCCUUAAUUAUCACGCGCCCUAAGUAUUGGGAAACAAUGUACGCGCUCUUGUAAUGAACUGCACAUAUGCAUUCCUAUAAGGUAAAAGGGUUAUGUCCUCUAUAUCACUCAGUGAAGUUAUGUGGAACAAAAAUAAUCAUUUAUAAGUGGUUUCAGUUUUACCUUUUUUUAUGGUUUACCUCUACUAACUCCUAGUAAAAAAUAAUUUCUUCUGUUACAGCUGAUGAAAAAGAUCAUUAUGGCUUUAAAGCAUGAGACUAUAAAAAGCUGCAACUAGUUUAGAUAUCAGUUAGAAGUUAAUUCUGAGUCACUGCAAUUGAAAACAUCAGUUUACAACAUUUACUGGGUUGCUAUAAAAUGUAUUCCCCUGUGUUACGUUAAACAUGAGAAACUACACCUCAGUGUUUCCAUUAUUUAUAUAUUUAUUCAUAUCUUGCUGCUUCUGAUUCAGCUGUGUAACUGUAUGCAAAACAAAUAACUACUGGGGAACAGAAUAAUUUGUAUUUUGAGGGGAAUAAAUAUCCUGAAGGAUAUAUUUUUGUGGGUGUGGUGCCACCUAUAAUGAAUCACAUGGAUUUUGCAGAUAAAAUAUGAGAGAGAAAAAGUAGGUGAGACAUUUUGGGCCCAGCAACCUUGACAUUGGUCUGUUAUGGAAAGGAAAUUUUUUGUUUGUUUAUUUUUUUAAAAAAUCCUCAAACAAAUCCACGUCUUAAAACACAAUGUGAGGCCCCUAGCAUAUUUUACAAAGGCCCUGAAAAAGAUUUACUAUCAGUUCCAUACAAAUAGAAGGACAAUGGGUCAGAUCCUGGGGACUGCUUAUGCUGCACCCAUUACUGCUCGAGGGUAGGAGUAUAAAGGUAUACUUUAUACUUCGGGAUGGGGUAUAAAGGUAGCUAUAAGCCAACUAUACAUUGCCCUGAUCAGUUUCAGGAUUGUUAGGUAUUGGUCUGGUCUUCACUGCAGGACAGAACAGAGAGACCUGCAUUGCCCUACUCCUGGGUGCCUACAGCCUCCAAGGACUGUUCCAGCGGCUAAGGAUUGGCUUAAAGUUGUGGCCCCCUGUUCUGGGAGUUAAAAGGAAUGGCAUAGAAAGUGGCCAGUGAAAGAUAUUUAUUUUUUAAAAGGCUAUUCAUUGUCCAUCAAUCUUUCUAUUGAAGACUGGAGUUCAUGGCAACAAAAUAACACAUUUCAUUUAAGAAACAUACACAGCAAAGUCAUACAUGUGUCUUUUGUGACGAGCCAUUUCUGGGAAACUGACAUUUUAUUCCUCCCCCUCCAGCAUCUGUAAAUUCAUGGAGUGCCCUGCAUUUGACUUCUCUUCUGGUGUCCUUCAUGUCCUCUACGCAAAAGAUUCUCAUUUAAUGAAAACCAUGUCGCUUGUUUCUUUAGUGUGAUCCAGAGUUCCUCCUGAAUUACCUAGAACUGUAGCUUCUGCUGAUGUGAAGACUUCCCGCCUCACGGAUAACACGGCAUGAAUCCCUACAUGCUCCAGAGCCUGAUUAGCGUGGAUCUCCCAGCACACACAAAGGCAAGAAUUAAGAGAAAGACAGGAGGAUCCUCAGGCCCACCUGAGCUCUGCCUCUUGCAUGCUGUCUUACAGAUAUCCACCAUGGAGUUGAGCUUCCACCAUGUAAGAGAGAUGAAGAACACAUUUAGAAAACAUGGGCAUGACACACGUACAGCAGUAAACUCAGAUCCACCUGAAUGGGCUUUGAGCUGGAGUUUGGCAUUCUCAGCCUACGAUUUAGGUGUUGGCCUGAGAUUGGUGGCACAUUACCCUACACCUCUGACAAGGUUAGCAGGAUGUUCCAGGUAUGUUUAUGCUACACAGCAUUGCCAUGAUCCUUGCCUGAGGGGGAAGACAUGCAUGAAAUAAGGAGCCCUGAAAAGAAGAGGACAUAGAAGCUGUGAAGCUUAGGUGGACAUAAGUAUGCUGGACCAGGAAGAUAAUGGGGGAGCAAGGACACCAGCUAGUGUUCCCUGAGCGUCCUGAUUCUCAGAGACAGUCUGAUAGCCAAGAUGCAGAAUUGGGGCCUCAAUGAAUCAUGACCUAUGUAUCAAGCAAACAAUGGAAACCCACAAUAAGAACUGGUGUCAGAUAUAAAGAAGUGGAGAGAGAGCAUUCUGAAUUUUGAAGGCAUCAAUAGGAGCUCAUGAUGAUUUAAGGAUUAUGAUGAUGAUGUGCACCAUAUAUGUGGUUAUAUGCACUCUCCUAAUUAAAAAAAUACUUUAGUCAAUGAUACUUGUUAAUCAGUAUCUUAUUUACAUAAAGAGGUAGAAUCAAUGGAGAGCCUCCAGAACAUUUGAGGAAAAUCUGUGGAUUUUCUUCUGGAGUUUUAGUUUUCAUUCUCCUCCUGUAUUUUAGACUAAGCAUCAUAGUGGAUCAGACCAAAGGACCAUCUAGCCCAGUAUCCUGUCUUCCGAGAGCGGCCAAUGCCAAGUGCUUCAGAGGGAGUGAGCAGAUCAGACAAGAUCGCUGAAACUGCAACUUGUUCUGAGCAGGGCCUUGAAGCUACACACAGUGCUCCACUGAUUCCAAGCCCAGGGAUCUACCCAUGCUAGAUAAGUUGCAGGACUGGGGCCUAAAGUCUGUUUAAUAAUGAAAGCCUCCAAUGCCUACAUAUGAAUCUUUUUCAAGAGCAUUUAAAAAGAAAUCAAAGUGAAAUAUGGCAUUAGCUACUUGGACAUAGAGAAAUGCCCAAAAUACACUGAUCAUAUCUCAGCAUAUGCCUGUAAAAGUGCUCACAUUCUACCCAUGCAGUCAAUUGCAAGUAAGGUUUUCUUCAAAGUUGGUCAAUAGCAGAUGAAAAUAAUUUAAAAAUGAGACUGUCCUAUUAAUACUAUGAGCCAAAGCAGGAAGAAAUGGAAAAACCCAGUUUAUGCUUUCUCUAAGUUAAAUCACUUAUUCAUGUUUUUACCAGCCUUUAUCAGAGUUUGUACACUUUCUCCAAUUAAAUUAUUUUUCUUCAGGGAAGCUUGCGAGGCACUUACAUAAAUUCUGUUAAUUUCUAAGUAAUGCAGUCCUGACAAUCACUUAAGACAAGAUAGUUGAUACUGCUGUCAGGAAAGACUCUUUUUCAGAAGAAUGUUUUUAUAGAAUAUCAUUGUGACACUUUGCUCAGAUGGAUGUCUUUAGCAGAAUUUGAUUAAUGUAAUGUAAUAAAAGAGAUGCACACUAAAGUGUCUGUACAUGUCUUGUUAAGUAUGUUUGAUUCAUUAUAUGUAGUUCUCCUCACUUCUUUUCUCUUUCCUCAGUUCAUUUUUUAUUAUUCAAUAAUAUAUCUAUAAAUAUGAAAAAGUUGGCACUUUCAAAGUCUUUGACAUAUAUGGCUAUUA
Dermochelys coriacea (leatherback sea turtle) is the source of this 6812-nucleotide long non-coding RNA. RefSeq lists it as uncharacterized. The transcript has 9 exons. Lineage: Eukaryota; Metazoa; Chordata; Testudines; Dermochelyidae. The record is from RefSeq and is a predicted model, not a curated record.